CCUGAGGAGACCCCGUCCGGUCCGCGGGCCCCGUCACCCUGUGGAGACCCCGUCCCUCAGGUCCCACCGCCCGGAAAAGGCCGCGCGUCCCGACCCCGGAGCCGCUCAGCCCGCAGAGGGAAAGGGGGCCCGGCUGGUCAGGAGCUCGGGAGUCGGGAAUGAAGCAUGUAGAAACUCUGAACUCUUACGAGUUGGGAAGUGGCAUUCUCUCUUCCCUCCAGCCCUCCCAUCUGUUCUUUUUCCGAAGAAACCCCUGCAGAGCGGCGGGCGCAGGCAGCAGGUGCAGAGCAGAUGGAGCCCGCGCCGCGCGCUCCGAGGAGCCCCCCUCCUCUCUGUCCCUGAAAAG
Long non-coding RNA from Callorhinus ursinus (northern fur seal), 346 nucleotides. RefSeq lists it as uncharacterized. NCBI's taxonomy places the organism in Eukaryota, Metazoa, Chordata, Mammalia, Carnivora, Otariidae. The record is from RefSeq and is a predicted model, not a curated record.